RNAcentral lists this ribosomal RNA (351 nucleotides) under uncultured bacterium. RNAcentral's name for it is "partial 16S ribosomal RNA". It matches the Rfam family "Bacterial small subunit ribosomal RNA", at positions 338 to 706 of the family's 1533-position model. The record is from RNAcentral.
CCUACGGGAGGCAGCAGUGGGGAAUAUUGCACAAUGGGGGAAACCCUGAUGCAGCGACGCCGCGUGAGUGAGGAAGGAUUUCGGAAUGUAAAGCUCUAGCAGCAGGGAAGAAAAUGACGGUAGCUGACUAAGAAGCCCCGGCUAACUACGUGCCAGCAGCCGCGGGAAUACGGAGGGGGCAAGCGUUAUCCGGAUUUACUGGGCGUAAAGGGAGCGUAGGCGGCAGGACAAGUCAGGAGUGAAAUCCCGGGGCUUAACCCCGGAACUGCUUUGGAAACUGUGCGGCUGGAGUGCAGGAGGGGUAAGCGGAAUUCCUCUUGUAGCGGUGCAAUCCGUAGAUAUUCGGAGGAA